UACGUAGGGUGCAAGCGUUGUUCGGAAUCAUUGGGCGUAAAGCGCGUGUAGGUUGUUUGAAAAGUCGAUUGUGAAAUACCUGGGCUUAACCGAGGAAGUGCAGUCGAAACUUUCAAGCUAGAGAUUGGUAGAGGAAGGUGGAAUUCCAAGUGUAGAGGUGAAAUUCGUAGAUAUUUGGAGGAAUACCGGUGGCGAAGGCGGCCUUCUGGGCCACAUCUGACACUGAGACGCGAAAGCGUGGGGAGCAAACAGG
RNAcentral lists this ribosomal RNA (253 nucleotides) under uncultured bacterium. RNAcentral's name for it is "partial 16S ribosomal RNA". It matches the Rfam family "Bacterial small subunit ribosomal RNA", at positions 524 to 776 of the family's 1533-position model. The record is from RNAcentral.